GGUUGUGAGGGUGAUCUGGCUGCAACAUCUGUCAUCCCAUUGAUCACCACGGUUGAUUCGGCUGAUCUGGCUGGCUAGGCAAGUGUCUCCCUCCUCCCUCACUGCUCCAUGUGCAUCCCUCCCGAAGCUAUGUGCUCGGUCGAAGAGGACGGCCUUCCCUGAAUAGAGACAGACAGGUCUUCGGUCAAGGGUAUAUGAGUAGCUGCACUCCCCUGCUAGAACCUCCAAACAAGCUCUCAAGGUCCAUCUUCCUACUCUGUGCCUUUUAAUAGGUGAAUUUAGGCCAUUGACAUUUAUUGAUAUCAAAGAUUGAAGAUAUUUAACUCCAUUCUU
Molecule: small nuclear RNA, 333 nt
Filed under: Erinaceus europaeus (western European hedgehog)
Lineage: Eukaryota; Metazoa; Chordata; Mammalia; Eulipotyphla; Erinaceidae
Description: 7SK RNA (ENSEEUG00000017657.1)
Rfam family: 7SK RNA
About the family: 7SK was discovered as an abundant small nuclear RNA in the mid-70s but a possible function has only recently been suggested. Two independent studies have found that 7SK RNA binds the CDK9/cyclin T complex (known as elongation factor P-TEFb). P-TEFb activates transcription by phosphorylating the C-terminal domain of RNA polymerase II.
Source: RNAcentral